Molecule: ribosomal RNA, 418 nt
Filed under: Anomaloglossus cf. baeobatrachus ABGD cluster 4
Lineage: Eukaryota; Metazoa; Chordata; Amphibia; Anura; Aromobatidae
Description: partial large subunit ribosomal RNA
Rfam family: Bacterial large subunit ribosomal RNA
Source: RNAcentral
GCCUCUUGAUUAAACCAUAAGAGGUCCAGCCUGCCCAGUGACAUUGUUCAACGGCCGCGGUAUCCUAACCGUGCGAAGGUAGCGUAAUCACUUGUCCUUUAAAUGAAGACUAGUAUGAAUGGCCCCACGAAAGCUAUACUGUCUCCUUUUUCUAAUCAGUUAAACUAAUCUCCCCGUGAAGAAGCGGGGAUAAACAUAUAAGACGAGAAGACCCUAUGGAGCUUUAAACAACUGAAACAUUUGUAUACCUCCCUUCACCUACCCACAUUUAACUCCACAUCUUGUUUCUAGUUUUAGGUUGGGGUGACCACGGAGAAAAAACUAACCUCCACGAUGAAAGAGACAUCUCUAAACAAAAAGCUACAUCUUUAUGUAUUAAUACAUUAACCUUUAUUGACCCAAUAAAUUGAUCAACGAA